This 320-nucleotide ribosomal RNA is filed under the name uncultured archaeon. RNAcentral's name for it is "partial 16S ribosomal RNA". It matches the Rfam family "Archaeal small subunit ribosomal RNA", at positions 412 to 721 of the family's 1478-position model. The record is from RNAcentral.
GGCACCUCUAAAAAUGGUGCAGAAAUAAGGGGUGGGCAAGUCUGGUGUCAGCCGCCGCGGUAAUACCAUGCACCCCGAGUGGUCGGGACGAUUAUUGGGCCUAAAGCAUCCGUAGCYGGUUYUGCAACGYCUUCYGUUAAAUCCAGCCGCUCAACGGAUGGGCCGCGUGAGGAUACUANCUAGGACUANGGAGGCGGGAGAGGCAAGCGGUACUCAGUGGGUAGGGGUAAAAUCCUUUGAUCCAUUGAAGACCACCAGUCGGCGANAGGCGNGCNNUUGCCAGAACGCGCUGGACGGUGAGGGAGAAAGCUGGGAGCAAC